Neofelis nebulosa (Clouded leopard) is the source of this 1703-nucleotide long non-coding RNA. RefSeq lists it as uncharacterized. Lineage: Eukaryota; Metazoa; Chordata; Mammalia; Carnivora; Felidae. The record is from RefSeq and is a predicted model, not a curated record. The transcript has 3 exons.
AGACACAGCCCAGACAGCCCUUCAUGGCAGGGAUUUCUGUCCGUGCAGCCAGGGCAAUGAGUUUGGGAUACUUGGGUCCAAAUAAGGACCAGGGCCAAAGGGUAUCAGUGGUGCCCCCAAAGCAAUGCAAUGUCUUCUGCCAUUUUUAAUUCUUCCUACUUGGCUUUCUUUGGAUUUUGUAUGCAGAGGCACACCCUGGGACCAUUACAGAUGAGGCUGUGGACUGUGACCUUGGGGGAGAUGGGGAGAGAAGGAAGAGGAAAUGGGAAGAGGUUGGUGAGGGUGUGAGGAGGAGGAGGUAAUGGAAGUUUAAUGGAGUAAUAAACGAUCAAAGUGGGGUGGUGUGCUUAGCCAUGGGUAGAGCGUAGCUUCAGAGGCCCAUGUGUUGGCUUAGAAGGGGCUUCAGGAUGAGUGUAGGGGAUUCAGGAUAUUUGCGGUAAACGGUUUCAAUCUAUAGAAGUGUUUCUCUGUCUCUACCUCUGAUCCCAGCUUGCUUUCCUUCAUUCCUGUAUGCAUUCACAGAUCAGAAAAUAUGAGUCCCAUGUACCAGUUCCUGGGAACACAGCAGUAAAGAAGGCAGGCAUAUUUCUGCUCCUCACAUGGCUUUCAGUCCUCUGCCUCUUUGAAGAAAGGCACUCUGAGAAGUGGAAAUUAAAUGGCUGUAGAUGAGUUGCAACAAGAAUUGUAUGACCUGCCUUCUGGGAAGGAUGCACAGAUCAGAAGAGAAGCUGUCAUGACUCAGACCAACUGAGAACACUGGCCAACAAUGCACUGGUUCCAAAGGCACCAGCUCAGUCCUGUGGAUUUGAAGAUUCUGGAGUGCUGGGGAAGGGGUAACUGGACUCUGAAGCAUUUCUCCCUUGGGAGGUUGGGCCAGCUUCAGCCAAAGCCCUGGCCAUCUGUGCAAGGAACAACACUGCCGAACAGCAUGCUUUCCUGGAGCUGUCCUCCCUGCUCUGUGUACAGACUCUUGGGACUAUGGCAACAGAUGUGGAAACUGAGGCAUGGCUAAGGAAGGCCAUGAGCCCAUCCGCCCCAGCAGCGCCUCAGAGCCUGAGUGGACUCAGGCUCUGGAGUCCAGUGAGCUCAGCACUGCAUCUGAAGGAAUUUGUUGGACAGCUUGAGCCCUCCCUGCAAGGCAGGAUCUACUGAAGAAGAAUCUGGAACUAGAGAGGCCCUGGGCUCUGUACUCCAGUGGGGGAGCUGGGGAGGGAAUGACAGGACAUCUUUGGUCAUUUCUGCUUCCUGUGCUCCCCACCAUUCCUGAAUUCCUCUGAACAGUGUCUGUGACCCCAGCCCUGUUUACCCACUGGUGUACCCCAGGGUCUAGAGCCAUCCAGGGCACACAGCGGCUUCUCAGAAAAUAUAUCUUGACUGAGGGGUGGAUGGUGCCCAUUUAUGGCGGCAUCCUGAGGCUCUAGAGCCCUUUCUGUUUCUUUUCCAGAAAGGCCCAGGGGUGGGGGUGGGGGACUUGGGAAGUGAAUGCAGUGUAUCUUCAUGUUCUCAGCCUCACUCCAACCCUCCCUGCCUGCCUCUGCCCCACCCACAGUGCCAACCCACCACCUUGCCACCCCAUCACCAUGGCUUCCCUCCCCUUGUUGAUCCUUUCUUCAUGUUAACAAGCUCAUAUUCUACCUCACCUUGGUUAUUUGCCUCAUGUAUCAAAGUCUUAAGCUAAAGGAAUAAAUCUCUAAGAUGACUGA